CCUACGGGUGGCAGCAGUGGGGAAUAUUGCGCAAUGGGCGAAAGCCUGACGCAGCGACGCCGCGUGAGGGAUGACGGUCUUCGGAUCGUAAACCUCUGUCAGCAGGGAAGAACGGUCACUGUGCUAAUCAGCUGUGAAUUUACGGUACCUGCAAAGGAAGCACCGGCUAACUCCGUGCCAGCCGCCGCGGUAAUACGGAGGGUGCGAGCGUUAAUCGGAAUUACUGGGCGUAAAGCGCUCGUAGGCGGUAUGUCAAGUCAAGGGUGAAAUCCCCGGGCUAAACGUGAGAACUGCCUUUGAUACUGGCAAACUUGAGUGUGGGAGAGGAUAGUGGAAGUCCAGGUGUAGGAGUGAAAUCCGUAGAUAUCUGGAGGAACAUCAGUGGCGAAGGCGACUAUCUGGCACAUAACUGACGCUGAGGAGCGAAAGCGUGGGUAGCAAACAGGAUUAGAUACCCGGGUAGUC
RNAcentral lists this ribosomal RNA (465 nucleotides) under uncultured bacterium. RNAcentral's name for it is "partial 16S ribosomal RNA". It matches the Rfam family "Bacterial small subunit ribosomal RNA", at positions 338 to 795 of the family's 1533-position model. The record is from RNAcentral.